Molecule: long non-coding RNA, 453 nt
Organism: Bactrocera oleae (olive fruit fly)
Lineage: Eukaryota; Metazoa; Arthropoda; Insecta; Diptera; Tephritidae
Source: RefSeq, a predicted model, not a curated record
GAAAAUUAAAAUUAUAUGUGCUAUUUGUUAUUGAAUAAGACAUUAUUGUAUUAAAAACAUAUAUGACAGAAAUUAAAUAGUGCAAGUAUAAGGGCAAAUGAAAUGUAAUUUGAAUAUAUAGAGAGGUGAGAACUUUAUGUCAAGUUGCCGCUUUAUGAUGGAAUUAGUGAUCGACGUGCCGCCCUUUCGUUCUUAACGUCCGUAUCAAACGAAUGCUGGCCAACCUGCGUUGUAAGCUGACACGUUUCAACGGGAAAAAUCCAAUUUUGGUGAAUAUCCAAGUUACGCUAAUUCAAAAUCUCAGUGCAUAAUCUGAACGCUUAAAAACUCUUUUAUCUCUCAUUAUUACGCAAAAUCCACUCGAGUGCGGUGUGUGCCACUGACGUCGUUUGAGCUGGAGAGGUUCUAAUCAUUGUGUUUAUUGCCAUUAACGUUGUAGUAUAACUUCUUUAA